CGUCAGGCUCUCCUUGCUGCGGCUUGACCCAACUGCACAUCUCACCUCAGCGUUAUGAAAGUGCAAGGUCUUCAGCAAUGCUAUUGUGGUGCUGGGAUGGAGGAGGAUACAUUGCCUGCAAAACAAUGGUUUCUCUAGCACUUUGAGAACUGAGGUUUGAACCCACCAUGUAAAAGGAAGAACACAAAUACUCCUGUUUUGUUUCAGUUUACAGGAUAUUCACGUGCAUGUAAGAACACAUUGCAAUAAAACCUUCGGACUGCAUCUCCUUCUACCCUGGCUGAACUGUCAUUUAGAGAAGUGCAAUAUUAUUUGCAUACUGUAUUUUAGCAUGCUAAAUAAAAGAACAUAUUUCAGGCAAAGCAUUAGAGAGCUUGGCCUCUGCAUGA
Molecule: long non-coding RNA, 389 nt
Filed under: Gallus gallus (chicken)
Lineage: Eukaryota; Metazoa; Chordata; Aves; Galliformes; Phasianidae
Description: lncRNA (ENSGALG00010014123.1)
Source: RNAcentral